Molecule: ribosomal RNA, 504 nt
Filed under: uncultured bacterium
Lineage: Bacteria
Description: bacterial SSU rRNA
Rfam family: Bacterial small subunit ribosomal RNA
Source: RNAcentral
AUUGAACGCUGGCGGCGUGCCUAACACAUGCAAGUCGAGCGGUAACAGGUGUAGCAAUACAUGCUGACGAGCGGCGGACGGGUGAGUAACGCUUGGGAAUCUGCCCAUUAGUGGGGGACAACCCGGGGAAACUCGGGCUAAUACCGCAUACGCUCUACGGAGGAAAGCCGGGGACCGCAAGGCCUGGCGCUAAUAGAUGAGCCCAAGUCGGAUUAGCUAGUUGGUAGGGUAAUGGCCUACCAAGGCGACGAUCCGUAACUGGUCUGAGAGGACGACCAGUCACACCGGAACUGAGACACGGUCCCGGACUCCUACGGGAGGCAGCAGUGGGGAAUAUUGGACAAUGGGCGAAAGCCUGAUCCAGCGACGCCGCGUGGGUGAAGAAGGCCUGCGGGUUGUAAAGCCCUUUCAGUGGGGAAGAAAAGCCUCGACCUAACACGUCGGGGUCUUGACGUAACCCAUAGAAGAAGCACCGGCUAACUCUGUGCCAGCCGCCGCGGUAAU